CGGUCUUGACAUCUGGGCGGAUACGGGGCAAUGCCCGUAGCCUUCGGGCGCCCAAGACAGGUGGUGCAUGGUUGUCGUCAGCUCGUGUCGUGAGAUGUUGGGUUAAGUCCCGCAACGAGCGCAACCCUUACCUUCAGUAGCCAGCGAGUGAAGUCGGGCACUCUGGAGGGACUGCCGGGGACAACCCGGAGGAAGGUGGGGAUGACGUCAAAUCAUCAUGCCCCUUAUGGCCGGGGCUACACACGUGCUACAAUGGCGUAAACAAAGGGAAGCGAAGGAGCGAUCCGGAGCGAAUCCCAAAAAUAACGUCUCAGUUCGGAUUGCAGGCUGCAACCCGCCUGCAUGAAGCCGGAAUCGCUAGUAAUCGCGAAUCAGCAUGUCGCGGUGAAUACGUUCCCGGGUC
RNAcentral lists this ribosomal RNA (403 nucleotides) under uncultured bacterium. RNAcentral's name for it is "bacterial SSU rRNA". It matches the Rfam family "Bacterial small subunit ribosomal RNA", at positions 976 to 1380 of the family's 1533-position model. The record is from RNAcentral.